AACCAUAGAAACCUGCGGAGUACCUGCGGAGGGAUCAUUAUCGAGUUGCAAAACUCCAACCCUUUGUGAACAUACCUCAGUCGUUGCUUCGGCGGUGGACGGCCUUUUUUCGAAAAGGCCCGAAGCCGCCGGAGGUUCCAAACUCGUGUUUUGUUUAGUGUAUCUCUGAGCCUGAAAACAAAUAAUCAAAACUUUCAACAACGGAUCU
Molecule: unclassified non-coding RNA, 208 nt
Filed under: soil metagenome
Description: partial contains 5.8S ribosomal RNA, internal transcribed spacer 2, and large subunit ribosomal RNA
Source: RNAcentral